This 240-nucleotide long non-coding RNA is filed under the name Mytilus galloprovincialis (Mediterranean mussel). Lineage: Eukaryota; Metazoa; Mollusca; Bivalvia; Mytilida; Mytilidae. The record is from RNAcentral.
UCUGAUAACAAGAAAAACAGUGUUUGGGGAGAUAACUCUUACAAAGAAGAGUGUUCGGUUAAACAGGGUGAGUUUCAAAAGCGUAUAGACUGUAUGAUCUCAUAUACAAAAAAACUAAGCGACAUCUUUUGAAACAUUUUUACACCGCAAGAAAAAAAUUAGGCGGAAGAAAAAAAAAAAAUAAUCAGAACAAAAUCAAUAGGUCUUUCCACACGGAAAGGUGGAAAGACCUAAUAAUAA